AUUGAACGCUGGCGGCAGGCCUAACACAUGCAAGUCGAGCGGAGCGGCGGACGGGUGAGUAAUGCCUAGGAAUCUGCCUGGCCGUGGGGGAUAACGUCCGGAAACGGGCGCUAAUACCGCAUACUAUCAGAUGAGCCUAGGUCGGAUUAGCUUGUUGGUGGGGUAAAGGCCUACCAAGGCGACGAUCCGUAACUGGUCUGAGAGGAUGAUCAGUCACACUGGAACUGAGACACGGUCCAGACUCCUAAGGGAGGCAGCAGUGGGGAAGAUUGGACAAUGGGCGAAAGCCUGAUCCAGCCAUGCCGCGUGUGUGAAGAAGGCCUUCGGGUUGUAAAGUACUUUAAGUCGGGAAGCGUUACCGGCAGAAGAAGCGCCGGCUAACUCCGUGCCAGCAGCCGCGGUAAUAC
RNAcentral lists this ribosomal RNA (407 nucleotides) under uncultured bacterium. RNAcentral's name for it is "partial 16S ribosomal RNA". It matches the Rfam family "Bacterial small subunit ribosomal RNA", at positions 30 to 526 of the family's 1533-position model. The record is from RNAcentral.